This 261-nucleotide ribosomal RNA is filed under the name uncultured bacterium. Its description in RNAcentral is "partial 16S ribosomal RNA". It matches the Rfam family "Bacterial small subunit ribosomal RNA", at positions 793 to 1055 of the family's 1533-position model. The record is from RNAcentral.
GUCCACGCCCUAAACGAUGGAUACUCGACAUACGCGAUACACAGUGUGUGUCUGAGCGAAAGCAUUAAGUAUCCCACCUGGGAAGUACGAUCGCAAGAUUGAAACUCAAAGGAAUUGGCGGGGGUCCGCACAAGCGGUGGAGCAUGUUGUUUAAUUCGAUGAUACGCGAGGAACCUUACCUGGGCUAGAAUGUUGGGAGACCGUGGGUGAAAGCUCACUUUGUAGCAAUACACUGCCAAUAAGGUGCUGCAUGGCUGUCGU